UAGAUAUUAUAUUACUCUGCCUCUCUUCAU
Molecule: non-coding RNA, 30 nt
Filed under: Mus musculus (house mouse)
Lineage: Eukaryota; Metazoa; Chordata; Mammalia; Rodentia; Muridae
Source: RNAcentral